CCCUCAUCCACAACCCACACACCUGUGCACCAAAGGGACGGCGGGUGGAUAACGCACGCCGUCUCGCUUUAACAAGCUCAAAAGUCUAUUUUGAAUGUCAUUUAUUCGGGCUAGCCCCGAUGUAACUUAAACAUAACAACUUUCAACAACGGAUCUCUUGGCUCUCGCAUCGAUGAAGAACGCAGCGAAAUGCGAUAAGUAAUGUGAAUUGCAGAAUUCAGUGAAUCAUCGAAUCUUUGAACGCACCUUGCGCCCAUUGGUAUUCCGAUGGGCAUGCCUGUUUGAGUGUCUUGAAAUCAUCAAGCCCGUUCGGUUUCACCGCCGAGCGGGGUUGGACUUGGGGGCUUGCCGCUUCGCCGCGGCUCCCCUUAAAUGCAUCGGUUUCGGGUCUCUGUGGGAGUCACCCCUUGGGCGUUGUAUAACCCUCGCUGUCUGGGAACUCCACGCGACGUCCGCGUCGUUGAAGGGCCUUGAAGAAACCUCGACCUGCUGUAGAGUGGCGGUCAAUGUUAAAUCGAGAUCUGACCUCAAAUCAGGUAGGACUACCCGCUGAACUUAAGCAUAUCAAUAAGCGGAGGAAA
Molecule: ribosomal RNA, 581 nt
Filed under: uncultured fungus
Lineage: Eukaryota; Fungi
Description: eukaryotic LSU rRNA
Rfam family: 5.8S ribosomal RNA (bases 138-291)
Source: RNAcentral